RNAcentral lists this ribosomal RNA (445 nucleotides) under uncultured bacterium. Its description in RNAcentral is "partial 16S ribosomal RNA". It matches the Rfam family "Bacterial small subunit ribosomal RNA", at positions 354 to 796 of the family's 1533-position model. The record is from RNAcentral.
GUGAGGAAUAUUGGACAAUGGGCGCAAGCCUGAUCCAGCCAUGCCGCGUGCAGGAAGACGCAUCUAUGGUGUGUAAACUGCUUUUGUACGGGAAGAAACACUCCCUCGUGAGGGAGCUUGACGGUACCGUAAGAAUAAGGAUCGGCUAACUCCGUGCCAGCAGCCGCGGUAAUACGGAGGAUCCAAGCGUUAUCCGGAAUCAUUGGGUUUAAAGGGUCCGUCGGCGGUUUAAUAAGUCAGUGGUGAAAGCCCAUCGCUCAACGAUGGAACGGCCAUUGAUACUGUUAGACUUGAAUUACAAGGAAGUAACUAGAAUAUGUAGUGUAGCGGUGAAAUGCUUAGAUAUUACAUGGAAUACCAAUUGCGAAGGCAGGUUACUACUUGUGGAUUGACGCUGAUGGACGAAAGCGUGGGGAGCGAACAGGAUUAGAUACCCUUGUAGUCC